GUCUGCUAAAGGGGAGGAAGGAAUGGGCAACGGUAGGUCAGCAUGCCCCGAAUUAUCCGGGCUACACGCGGGCUACAAUGGAUGGGACAAUGGGUUUCGACACCGAAAGGUGAAGGUAAAUCUCCUAACCCACCUUAGUUCGGAUUGCGGGCUGCAACUCGCCCGCAUGAAGCUGGAAUCCGUAGUAAUCGCGUCUCAAGAUGGCGCGGUGAAUAUGUCCCUGCUCCUU
RNAcentral lists this ribosomal RNA (229 nucleotides) under uncultured Methanocalculus sp. Its description in RNAcentral is "partial 16S ribosomal RNA". It matches the Rfam family "Archaeal small subunit ribosomal RNA", at positions 1109 to 1338 of the family's 1478-position model. The record is from RNAcentral. Lineage: Archaea; Methanobacteriati; Methanobacteriota; Methanomicrobia; Methanomicrobiales; Methanocalculaceae.